AGGCAGAUUUUGCGGAGAAGACUCAUCCGGCCACAGCACCAGAGGAUCCUCCUGAUACUGAAGAAUCCUGAAGGGAAAGCCUCCCCAUUCCGAGUCCCUGCUGUCAACYCUGAGGACCUCAGCAAACCACUGGAAACAGGAAAGAGAGUUGCUGGAGAAGCCCCUGUUCAAAGGGGAUGGUUUGCUGGAUGACGAAUGAGUUCCACGCGCUGGCUGUGACCCACACAAGCCUUGGACAUCCCAGCAGACCCUCAAAUUCUGCUGCUGCAAAGGAUCCCAUCAGGAUGUUCCCUUUACCAGCUAAUGUCUGACUUUCUGAAGAUGGAUGGUACGGCCAGGUCUGUGCACUCGCGACUGA
This is a long non-coding RNA of Nothoprocta perdicaria, 358 nucleotides long. RefSeq lists it as uncharacterized. The transcript has 3 exons. Lineage: Eukaryota; Metazoa; Chordata; Aves; Tinamiformes; Tinamidae. The record is from RefSeq and is a predicted model, not a curated record.